UACGUAGGGUGCAAGCGUUGUCCGGAAUUAUUGGGCGUAAAGAGCUCGUAGGCGGUUCGUCGCGUCGGCUGUGAAAUCCCGGAGCUCAACUCCGGGUCUGCAGUCGAUACGGGCGGACUCGAGUUCGGCAGGGGAGACUGGAAUUCCUGGUGUAGCGGUGAAAUGCGCAGAUAUCAGGAGGAACACCGGUGGCGAAGGCGGGUCUCUGGGCAGUACUGACGCUGAGGAGCGAAAGCGUGGGGAGCGAACAGGG
Molecule: ribosomal RNA, 253 nt
Filed under: uncultured bacterium
Lineage: Bacteria
Description: partial 16S ribosomal RNA
Rfam family: Bacterial small subunit ribosomal RNA
Source: RNAcentral